This 4389-nucleotide long non-coding RNA is filed under the name Pelobates cultripes (western spadefoot toad). Lineage: Eukaryota; Metazoa; Chordata; Amphibia; Anura; Pelobatidae. The record is from RNAcentral.
AGUGGAUGUAGAAUGUGUGUAGUGGAUGCAGAGUUCGUGUGUUAAGUGGAUGCAGUGUGUUUAACAGAUGCUGUGUGUAUAGUGGAUGCAGAUUGUACAUUUGUGUAAUGUAUGAGGUGCAGGGCCGGCGCUACCUGUUAGGCGGACUAGGCAGCCGCCUAGGGCGCCCCUUGGGAGGGGGCGCCACCAGGAGCGCCGGGCCCGCUCAUGCUGCAGCCGCCCGAGCGCUCUGUAAAGAGCCUCGGGCGGCUGCAGCUUUUCCCGGGCGGUGCGUCCAUGAGGGCGGACCACACCGCCCGGGCGCAGCCUGAGGAGAGGCUGACAGGAGGGAAGCGCUCAGCGCUCAGCGCUCAGCGCUCCCUCCUGUCAGCUCCCUCACUGUAGCGUGGCCGAGCCUGGCAGCAUGGUCCGACGGGUACAGGGAGCAGCUGUCUCCUGUACCCAGCCGGACUAACAGGAAGUGAACACUGAGUGUUCACUUCCUGUUAGUCCGGCCGGGUACAGGAAACAACAGCUCCCUGUACCCGCGGACUAUACUGGGCUCGGCCACGCUACUACACAGGUAGGGGGGAGGGGAGAAGAAAGAAACAGAGAGGGAGGGAGGGGGGAGAAGAAACAAACAGAGAGGGAGGGAGGGGGGAGAAGGAAACAGGGAGGGAGGGGAGAAGGAAACAGGGAGGGAGGGGGAGAAGAAAGAUACAGGGAGGGAGGGGGGAGAAGAAACAGGAGGGAGGGGGGUGGAAAGAUACAGGGAGGGAGGGGAGAAGAAACAGGAGGGGGUGAAGAAAAGAUACAGGGAGGAGGGGGAGAAGAAACAGGAGGGGGGGUAAAUAAAAGAUACAGGGAGGGAGGGGGAGAAGAAACAAACAGAGGGAGGGGGGAGAAGGAAACAGGGAGGGAGGGGGGAGAAGAAAGAAACAGAGAGGGAGGGAGGGGGAGAAGAAAGAAACAGAGAGGGAGGGAGGGGGGAGAAGAAAGAAACAGAGAGGGAGGGGGGGAGAAGAAAGAAACAGGAGGGAGGGAGGGGAAGAAAGAGGGAGGGAGGGGGAAGAAGGAAACAGGAGGGAGGGGAAGUAAGAAACAGAGAGGGAGGGAGGGGGAAGAAAGAAACAGAGAGGGAGGGAGGGGGGAGAAGGAAACAGGGAGGGAGGGGGAAGAAAGAGGGAGGGAGGGGGAAGAAGGAAACAGGUAGGGAGGGAGGGGGGAGAAGGAAACAGGUAGGGAGGGAGGGGGAGAAGGAAACAGGGAAGGAGGGGGAAGAAAGAAACAGGGAGGGGGAAGAAAGAAACAGGGAGGGGAGGGGGGAAGAAAUAAACUGACGGGAGGGGGGAGAAAGAAACUAACAGGGAGGUGGGGGGAAGAAACUAACAGGGGGGGAACUAACAGGGAGGGGGGAGACAUUGACAGGGAGGGGAAUUGACGGGGAGAGAGAAAUUGACAGGGAGGGGGGAGUGACAGGGGAGGGAGGGGGAAUGAGAGUAACAAGGGAGGGGGGGAGAAGAGAGUGACAAGGGAGGGGGGGAGAAGAGAGUGACAAGGGAGGGGGGAGAGAUUGACAUCCAUCACACACACAAUCACACACAAUGCACCCCUUACACACAAAGACAAUGAACCCCUUGCACACAGAAAAACACACAAUGCAUUACACACACAAUGCAUUACACACACAAUGCAUUACACACACACACGCAAUGCAACCCUUACACACAAUGCAUCCCUUACACACACAGAAACACACAAUGCAUUCCUUACACACACUCAAUGCACCCCUUAAACACACUCAAAGCACCCUUUACAGACACACACUUCAUCCCUUACAUACACAGAAACACACCUUGCAGCCCUUACACAUACAAACACAGAUUCACACAAUGCAUUCCUUACACACAAAUCAGGACAUCCCCUACACACUCCACCCCCUGUGAACAAACUCAUUGGUGGAACAUGAAGGUGGACCCUGGGACCCAGAACUUGAGCUGUGUAAAGGGCCCCCAAAAAAUGGAGCUGCUUCUUGUUCUCCCAGAACAUUGAUUUUUGUGACCACAGUUACAAACAGCCUCCAGAGAUCCUGUUACAGGCCCGGACUGGCCAUCGGGCACACCGGGCAAAUGCCCGGUGGGCCGCGGUGGCCAUGGGCCGAGGCCGGCAGGGGAGCUCCCAGGAUCUCCCCUGCCGGUCUAUGCAGGGCCGGCACUAUCCGAGCGCCGGCCCCGCUGUUUUCCAUGAAGGGCCGGUGAGGGAAAUCAAAGAUCUCCCUCACCGGCCCACAUGCUGUAUAAUGCGGCCGCGGGCAGGGGGAGAGGGAGGAGACAGCCGCUAGGAGAGAGGACCCGGCGGAGCUCUAAAUUAGAACUCCGCCGGGUUCCUCUCGCGAGAUCCGGCGCGUUGCCAUGGCAACGACCGGAUCUCACCACAAGGACCACCAGGGAACCCCCCCUCCCAGUCCCAGGGAUCAGUGUGCCGGUCCCCCCCUCCCAGGCUAAAGGUAAGAAGGGAGGGGGGACAUAAUGCCUACUUUAUUUAUUUAACCCCCCUCCCCCCUACACACACAAUCCAUUCUAACAUUUAUACAGCACUCUUACACCCAUCACUCUCACACACAGCACUCUCUCACACCCAUCACUCUCACACACAGCACUUUCUCACACACAGCACUUUCUCACACACAGCACUCUCUCACACCCAGCACUCUCACACCCAGCACUCUCACACCCAGCACUUUCACACACAGCACUCACUCUCACACACAGCACUCACUCUCACACAGCACUCACUCUCACACAGCACUCACUCUCACACCCAUCACUCUCACACACAGCACUCUCACACACAGCACUCUCUCACACAGCACUCUCUCACACAGCACUCUCACACAGCACUCUCACACAGCACUCUCUCACACAGCACUCUCUCACACAGCUCUCUCACACAGCACUCUCUCACAGCACUCUCUCUCACACAGCACUCUCACAGCACUCACGCACUCUCACUCACGGCACUCUCACUCACUGCACUCUCACACACAUCAUACACAGCACUCUCACACUCAUCAGACACACACACAUCACACAGAGCACUCUCACACACCGCACUCUCACACACAUCACACACCACACCCCUCAGACACACAUACUGCACCCCUCACAUACACACAGAACCCCCUCAACACACUGCACCACACACAUACACAAUACUUCCAAAUAUAUAUUUUUAUAUAUAUAUAUACACACACACACUACACUCUUAACAUACACACUCUGGAUCCCCUAUACACACACUAGAUUCCUUGUAAGCAAACACAUACUACACCCCUAAACAUACACUACAUCACCUAUAUACACACACACACACACACACACACACGCACUAUAGCCUGUAUGCACACACUUGCUAUAUCCCCUAUACACACAUUCUCUACAGCCCCUAGCCACAUAUGCAUCACAUUACACCACAAACACAACAUGACUAAAACCAACCUUAUUACACAAUACCGCACCACAAUCAGCUCACGCAAUACCACAAGCAGGCUCCAAACACAUGCACAAUACUCUUUCCUGGCAUUUUUGUUUCCUGGUAUCUUUAUAGAGAAACCAGAGACAAUUUGCAAGGAAACACAGUGCAAGCAUGUUAUUAAAUUUGCUUGCACUGUGCAGAACAAAUACAGGGCUUUUUUGAUCAUGCUAGAGCUCUUCAGCAGAGCUCUGCGCAUGGUCUGCCCUGGAAGAGCAUUGAACCAACAUGCUCACUUUGAGAGGGGGCAUGUUUGUCAUUGGUGAUGACAAAACACACCUCCUCUGCCCCCGCCCCCUUCUUAGUGGGCCGCUGUGUUAAAAAAAUGCCCGGGCCGAAUUUUUCUCCCAGUCCGGCCCUGUCCUGUUAUACACCAGACCAGUGGAGCCAGACUGCAGCUAAAGCCCAUCAUCAUCCUCAUCUGCUUGUAAGUAGGUAAUCUAGUAUAUUAUUCAUGGCACUAAUCUCUAAUUUACCUCACAUUAAAGAAACACUAUAGUCCCCAGAACCACUGCAGCUUAAUGUAGUGGUCCUGGUGUCUAUAGCCUGUCCCUGCAGGCCUUUUAAUGUAAACACAGCGGCACUGAGGCACUAGCGUUAGUUAACAUGGCAGGUCAUAUGGGUGGGGCAUUGUGAUGUCACGAGGGGGGGGGGCGGCAAACUUUACUUUUGCCUAGGGCGGCAAAAAUCCUUGCACCGGCCCUGAUGAGGUGUAUAUUAGAUGCAGAGUGUGUGUUUGUGUAGUGGAUGUAGUGUGUGUUUAUAGUGAAUGCAGAGUGUGUAUGUGUGUUUGUGUAGUGGAUGUAGUGUUUGUGUGUAUUAAAUGUGAUGUGUAUAGUGAAUGCAGAGUGUGUGUUUGUGUAGUGGAUGUAGUUUGUG